GACGAACGCUGGCGGCGUGCUUAACACAUGCAAGUCGAACGGAAAGGCCCUGCUUUUGCGGGCUGCUCGAGUGGCGAACGGUUGAGUACCACGGGAUAACCCUUCCCUUAACUUUGUAAUAACGGGAGGAAACUGGUGCUAAUACCGGAUAGUAGCGCCUGCUGUUUGUUGUUGGUUGGAAAGUUUCGGCAGUUGGGGAUGGACUCGCGGCUUAUCAGCCUGUCGGUGGGGUAGUGGCUUACUAAGGUUUGGGCGGGUAGCCGGACUGAGAGUGUGACCAGGCACAUUGGGACUGGGGUGCGGGCCAGACUCAUACGGCGGGAAGGGGUGGGAGAUAGUGCAAGAUGGGCCGAGGCCUGAAGCAGCAACGCCGGGUGGGGGAGCACGGUCUUCGGUUUAUAACGCGCUUUCGCCUGUAAAGAAGAGAGAGUGACGGUAAUGGGUAAAGAAGCACCGGCUAACUACGUG
This 468-nucleotide ribosomal RNA is filed under the name uncultured bacterium. Its description in RNAcentral is "partial 16S ribosomal RNA". It matches the Rfam family "Bacterial small subunit ribosomal RNA", at positions 28 to 507 of the family's 1533-position model. The record is from RNAcentral.